Non-coding RNA from Triticum aestivum (bread wheat), 124 nucleotides. Lineage: Eukaryota; Viridiplantae; Streptophyta; Magnoliopsida; Poales; Poaceae. The record is from Rfam.
AUUGUACUCCCCCCGUCCCAAAAUACUUGUCAUAGAAAUGGAUAAAUUGGAUGUAUCUAUAACUAAAAUAAGUGUAGAUUCAUCCAUUUCUCCGACAAGUAUUUUUGAACAGAGGGAAUACAUA